Molecule: ribosomal RNA, 305 nt
Filed under: uncultured bacterium
Lineage: Bacteria
Description: bacterial SSU rRNA
Rfam family: Bacterial small subunit ribosomal RNA
Source: RNAcentral
UUGGACCUACGGGACGCAGCAGUCGAGAAUCAUUCACAAUGGGGGAAACCCUGAUGGUGCGACGCCGCGUGGGGGAAUGAAGGUCUUCGGAUUGUAUCCCCCUGUCAUGUGGGAGCAAAUUAAAAAGAUAGUACCACAAGAGGAAGAGACGGCUAACUCUGUGCCAGCAGCCGCGGUAAUACAGAGGUCUCAAGCGUUGUUCGGAAUCACUGGGCGUAAAGCGUGCGUAGGCUGUUUCGUAAGUCGUGUGUGAAAGGCGCGGGCUCAACCCGCGCACGGCACAUGAUACUGCGAGACUAGCGGAC